RNAcentral lists this ribosomal RNA (670 nucleotides) under Staphylococcus sp. Its description in RNAcentral is "bacterial SSU rRNA". It matches the Rfam family "Bacterial small subunit ribosomal RNA", at positions 104 to 761 of the family's 1533-position model. The record is from RNAcentral. Lineage: Bacteria; Bacillati; Bacillota; Bacilli; Caryophanales; Staphylococcaceae.
GGGUGAGUAACACGUGGGUAACCUACCUAUAAGACUGGGAUAACUUCGGGAAACCGGAGCUAAUACCGGAUAACAUUUGGAACCGCAUGGUUCUAAAGUGAAAGAUGGUUUUGCUAUCACUUAUAGAUGGACCCGCGCCGUAUUAGCUAGUUGGUAAGGUAACGGCUUACCAAGGCGACGAUACGUAGCCGACCUGAGAGGGUGAUCGGCCACACUGGAACUGAGACACGGUCCAGACUCCUACGGGAGGCAGCAGUAGGGAAUCUUCCGCAAUGGGCGAAAGCCUGACGGAGCAACGCCGCGUGAGUGAUGAAGGGUUUCGGCUCGUAAAACUCUGUUAUUAGGGAAGAACAAACGUGUAAGUAACUGUGCACGUCUUGACGGUACCUAAUCAGAAAGCCACGGCUAACUACGUGCCAGCAGCCGCGGUAAUACGUAGGUGGCAAGCGUUAUCCGGAAUUAUUGGGCGUAAAGCGCGCGUAGGCGGUUUCUUAAGUCUGAUGUGAAAGCCCACGGCUCAACCGUGGAGGGUCAUUGGAAACUGGGAAACUUGAGUGCAGAAGAGGAAAGUGGAAUUCCAUGUGUAGCGGUGAAAUGCGCAGAGAUAUGGAGGAACACCAGUGGCGAAGGCGACUUUCUGGUCUGUAACUGACGCUGAUGUGCGAAAGCG